This 487-nucleotide ribosomal RNA is filed under the name Eneoptera nigripedis. RNAcentral describes it as "partial 16S ribosomal RNA". It matches the Rfam family "Archaeal large subunit ribosomal RNA", at positions 1912 to 2651 of the family's 2987-position model. The record is from RNAcentral. Lineage: Eukaryota; Metazoa; Arthropoda; Insecta; Orthoptera; Gryllidae.
UCUUCUUGUUGUGGUAAGAAGUCUGACCUGUCCACUGAAAUUUGAAGGACCGCGGUAUUUUGACCGUGCAAAGGUAGCAUAAUCAUUAGUCUUUUAAUUGAAGGCUGGUAUGAAUGGUUUGACGAAAUAAUAACUGUCUCUGGAUUAUUAGAUUGAAUUUUAUUUUUGAGUUAGAAAGCUUAAAUGAUAUUAAGGGACGAGAAGACCCUAUAGAUCUUUAUAUUUUUGUUGAUUAUUAUGUAUUGGAUGUUUUUUAUUUAUUUGAUAUUAGUAAUAUUUUGUUGGGGUGACAUGUGAAUAUUUAAGCUUCUUAAUUUUUAAUUUUGAUAGAUAAAUAUAAUAUCCUGUAUUAUGGAAUUGAGAUUAAGAUACCUUAGGGAUAACAGCGUAAUUUUAUUGGAGAGUUCAUAUCGAUAAUGGAGAUUGCGACCUCGAUGUUGGAUUAAGAAUAUAAGUUGGUGUAGUAGUUAAUUGUAUUGGUCUGUUC